This 242-nucleotide long non-coding RNA is filed under the name Gossypium barbadense (sea-island cotton). Its description in RNAcentral is "long non-coding RNA (GBAR_LNC016945)". Lineage: Eukaryota; Viridiplantae; Streptophyta; Magnoliopsida; Malvales; Malvaceae. The record is from RNAcentral.
AACAACAACAUCCUGUCAUUUCUAAAUCGUUUUCUGCUUUUAUUUAAACCGAUCAGCAUGAGGAGUAGAUGGUUAUGAAAAUACGUAUAUUGUUUUUCUUCUUCAUCCUUCUUCUCUGAACUCUCUCUUUCUCUGCACUUUUUUUGCUUGAAUAUUCGAUCGUAUCAAAGGUAUCAGAGACAACCGAUCCUCAUGGCCACCGAUGGAGUUACCACACGUCAACAAAAGGAAAUGGGGUUGCU